ACAUACUGGGUUGUGUGUAUUCAUGUUGCUGUUAACACUCAGCUGAUUUACAUGUUUUCCAUGUGUACUUUAAGAUUACCUUAUUUCAAAGGGUCAGAGUGGUAAUUUCUUUCCUUUAAGUUCCUGUAAAAUGCUCAGUUUCUUAUAAUUCUUGCCACUGCCUUCCAGGGCGCUCUGUCUCAUCCUGCACUUGCCGGCUUGGUGUUAUGACAAAAAGCAAAUGCAGGUUCACGAAAGUAUUACAGGAAACAAAUAGUGCCUUUAAUCCUGGAGCUGUGCCAGCCCGGCAGUAUCAAAGUUGAGCCUUCCCUGACCUCUGUUCAGGGGGCUGUGAGGCGGUCAGGAGCCAGGCUGCAGUGACGGGCCGGGACUCGGAGUGCCCGGGGCACAUGUGCUGGCCAGGGCCGUGCCACCUCCCGGGCGCCCAGCAUGGCAUGUCGCGUUUCUGUGCAUUCAGCGCCCACGAGAAGACUGAGUCCUGGGCUUUGCAUGAACGGUAGGAGUUGACAUUGUCCCCAGCGGAGCACAAGGACUCCCCGUGACAUGGCGGGGACAAUGGGAAGAAACAAUUCAGAAAGUGACGCAUUACUUCUGCCUGUGGACAGAGGGAACAGCUGAAACGUGGGAGACCAGACUACAGCUGUGUGACUACAGCUUUUUUUUUUCUUCUUCUUUUUUCUUCUUUUAAGCAACACAUAUUUUAGUGAAUAAAAACUACUGAUUCCCUCUGCUGGUGUUUUGAACCUUAUUUACUUCCCAAGGUGGUGGUGGUGGUGGUGGUAGUCACCAGACUGUCUGUGAAAGGAAGAGUGAGACAACAGGAGAAGCCAUAACCUCUUUACUGCUGUGGGAUGUUUAACCGCAACAGUCACCCUGCUUGGCUUGGCUUGGCUUGGCUCGGCUCCCUUGCCCCGCUUCACUCAUGCAUCCUUGUGUUCUCCUCUCCUAUCAAUCAUCACUUAGGGUCCUGUCCUGCAAAGCAGCCUGACUGCCACAGAU
Molecule: long non-coding RNA, 999 nt
Organism: Motacilla alba alba
Lineage: Eukaryota; Metazoa; Chordata; Aves; Passeriformes; Motacillidae
Exons: 3
Source: RefSeq, a predicted model, not a curated record